This 85-nucleotide non-coding RNA is filed under the name Pavo cristatus (Indian peafowl). The record is from RNAcentral. Lineage: Eukaryota; Metazoa; Chordata; Aves; Galliformes; Phasianidae.
AGGGGGGAAAUUACUUUACUNCUAUACAACACGCAUACGGUUAAGGCACUGCCACCUACUUCGUGGCAUCUAACCAUGUUUUUUU